UGAUGGAAUCCCUGGUGGGAUGAGAGA
Molecule: non-coding RNA, 27 nt
Filed under: Mus musculus (house mouse)
Lineage: Eukaryota; Metazoa; Chordata; Mammalia; Rodentia; Muridae
Source: RNAcentral